RNAcentral lists this ribosomal RNA (460 nucleotides) under uncultured bacterium. RNAcentral's name for it is "partial 16S ribosomal RNA". It matches the Rfam family "Bacterial small subunit ribosomal RNA", at positions 338 to 795 of the family's 1533-position model. The record is from RNAcentral.
CCUACGGGAGGCAGCAGUGAGGAAUAUUGGUCAAUGGACGAGAGUCUGAACCAGCCAAGUAGCGUGAAGGAUGACUGCCCUAUGGGUUGUAAACUUCUUUUAUAAAGGAAUAAAACGAGGCACGUGUGCCUUUUUGCAUGUACUUUAUGAAUAAGGAUCGGCUAACUCCGUGCCAGCAGCCGCGGUAAUACGGAGGAUCCGAGCGUUAUCCGGAUUUAUUGGGUUUAAAGGGAGCGUAGAUGGGUUGUUAAGUCAGUUGUGAAAGUUUGCGGCUCAACCGUAAAAUUGCAAUUGAUACUGGCAGUCGUGGGUACAGUUGAGGUAGGCGGAAUGCGUGGUGUAGCGGUGAAAUGCUUAGAUAUCACGAAGAACUCCGAUUGCGAAGGCAGCUUACUAAACUGCCACUGACAUUGAUGCUCGAAAGUGUGGGUAUCAAACAGGAUUAGAUACCCGUGUAGUC